This 305-nucleotide long non-coding RNA is filed under the name Elaeis guineensis (African oil palm). RNAcentral's name for it is "long non-coding RNA (EGUI_LNC043938)". Lineage: Eukaryota; Viridiplantae; Streptophyta; Magnoliopsida; Arecales; Arecaceae. The record is from RNAcentral.
CCGGCGCCAGCUGGCCCGCUGCACGUCGUGACUCAUCUCGGCAUCCUGAAGCUGCUUCUGGAGGUCAGAGACCUUCUGCGACCACCUCUGUUCAUCAUCAACCCGGGCCAAGAGCCGGGAUGAGUUUCCUUCCAGAUGGCCGAUCUUCCUCUUCGCGGCUGAUAGUUCCACCUUAAGGGCGCUGAUCCUGGCUUCUUGAGCCCAAAUUUGGUCACUGGUGCUCUUCUUGCAUUCCUCGAGCUCCUUUGUGAAGUUCGCCUUCCUCCGGCUGUAAUCCAUGAUUGCCUUCACCUGGAGACUCCGAA